UAUGUGAUCGUCUCUCGCAUAUCAAUAAGCGGAGGAAAAGAAACUAACAAGGAUUCCCCUAGUAACGGCGAGUGAAGCGGGAAGAGCUCAAAUUUGAAAUCUUAAAGGGUUUCCCUUUACGAAUUGUAGUUUAAAGAAGUGUUUUCUGUUGAGGUUUUGGUAAAAGUUCUUUGGAAUAGGACAUCAUAGAGGGUGAGAAUCCCGUAUUUGACCUUUACUUUCAACUUUGUGAUACACUUUCAAAGAGUCGGAUUGUUUGGGAAUGCAGUCCAAAAUGGGUGGUAAAUUUCAUCUAAAGCUAAAUAUUGGCGAGAGACCGAUAGCGAACAAGUACCGUGAGGGAAAGAUGAAAAGAACUUUGAAAAGAGAGUUAAACAGUACGUGAAAUUGUCAAAAGGGAAGCGUUUGACACCAGUGUUGUUUUUCUGAAAAUCAAUUAAAGAACUGUUUAUGCUAAGUUGUUUAGACUUUAUCAGCUAACUGUUUAGUUUUGAGCUUUUCUUUAAUGCACUUUUCAGUUAACAAGUCAACAUCAAUUUCUUUUGCUGUAAAAAAGCUUGAGGAAGGUGGCUUGAGAUUCGUCUUAAGUGUUUAUAGCCUCUUGCCUAUGCAGUCGGAGAGAUUGAGGUCUGCAGCGUAGAUCCUUCGGGGCUAAAUGCAUUUGUGCUAAGUUAUAGCAUUUUAUAGACAACUUGUUGACUAUGAUUUGUCUUGUAGCUUACUCGCUUAUGUUAUUUUACCUACGCUUAGGAUGUUGAGCGCAUGUCUCUCUCU
Molecule: ribosomal RNA, 774 nt
Filed under: uncultured Neocallimastigales
Lineage: Eukaryota; Fungi; Neocallimastigomycota; Neocallimastigomycetes; Neocallimastigales
Description: partial large subunit ribosomal RNA
Rfam family: Eukaryotic large subunit ribosomal RNA
Source: RNAcentral